CCUACGGGGCGCAGCAGUGAGGAAUAUUGGUCAAUGGACGAGAGUCUGAACCAGCCAAGUAGCGUGAAGGAUGACUGCCCUAUGGGUUGUAAACUUCUUUUAUAAAGGAAUAAAACGAGGCACGUGUGCCUUUUUGCAUGUACUUUAUGAAUAAGGAUCGGCUAACUCCGUGCCAGCAGCCGCGGUAAUACGGAGGAUGCGAGCGUUAUCCGGAUUUAUUGGGUUUAAAGGGUGCGUAGGCGGGAUAUUAAGUCAGCGGUAAAAUCGAGGGGCUCAACCCCUUUCAGCCGUUGAACCUGGUAUUC
RNAcentral lists this ribosomal RNA (305 nucleotides) under uncultured bacterium. RNAcentral's name for it is "bacterial SSU rRNA". It matches the Rfam family "Bacterial small subunit ribosomal RNA", at positions 338 to 641 of the family's 1533-position model. The record is from RNAcentral.